AGUUUGUAUGUAUUAUUUGUACUAUAAUAAAUAAUUUUUAAAUAAAAUAUAAAUUCUUGAUUGUUAGCUUGAAACAUAUGACGGACUAAUAAUAAAUUAUUUAUUGCCGUUUUAUUAUUUAUAAAAUUUUGUAAAAUUUUCGUGAUUAUCUUUCUCAAGCGAGAUUUGUUUCUGACAGAAAUCUUGCAACUAAAUUCUGGCCAUAAGAUCAUUUUUAUUAAUUUGCCCACCUCCAAGAGAGAUAAAAAGAGAGAGAAAGAGAGAAAGAGAGAGAGAGAGAAAAGAUAAGAAAAAGAAUAAAAUAAGGAUGAGAAAGAGUGGAGGUAUAUUAUUCUUUCUUUCUGGAUUUUUUAUAUUCGCCUUAUAACCAGAUUGUGAUUAAAGGAUUCCUAUCCAGACAGCACACAAUAUUUAUGAUAAAUAUUUAUAAAUAUUUAUUACUAUUUACUUUUUAUAUAUUAUAUAAUUAUUUUAUAGAUAUUUUAUACAUUUACACAAAAGAAAAAAAUCACAAAAUUUUUAUUCAAAAUGUUAUUAAAAUAUUGUAUUUUAUACAAUAUAGAGGAGAGGAAGGUAAGAUGACGACCUUAGGGUUUGUGAAUUUUUGCUAAUUUCUGUGAUAAUGUAAAAAUAACAAUCUAUUUUUUUUAGAUUCGCUAAAAUCUUGUUUAUCAUCAAUAAAAAUUAGAAAUUGUUAAAUAAACUAAAAUUUUUUUUAAUUUAAAUUAUUGUAGAACAUGUCAAUUUUGUCAUCUUGCUUCCAUAUGCGGGUAAGAUAACUUUUAAUACCAAAUAAGAUAAAAAAACAGUCAAAUAAAGUUAAAAAUGUACUUUUAUAAGUAACAAAGAUUUAUUACAACAUAAUAAUCUUACACUAUUUUGAUAUUACAAUGUAGUUAAAGAAAAACGUAAAUGAAACAAAAAAUAUUUAUGUAAUCUGCAAAAAUAAAAUUAUUAAAAAGGAGAUAUACAUUACAAUAUAUAUUGCGAUUAAAAUUACGUUAUAUAUCGUCAGAAUGUUAUUAAGAUCGAAGAAACCAAUGCAUUAUCUUGCCUAUGCACAACUUUUGUCAUCUUAUCCUCAGUUGCCGUGUUUACUUAUUUAUGAAGUAUAAAAUAUUACAAUAUAAAAGUUAAAAAAUAUAAAUAUUUUAUUGUAUACGUUUUUAGCUAUACAAUAUUGUGAUUUUAUAGAGAGAAUAAAAAUAUUUAUUAUAAUUAUUUUAUUCCUUAUAAACAAACACUAAAAAGUUACGAAUAGGUGUUUCUAAAACACAUUUCUUAUUAUAUUAUCUCAUGGACAGAUUGAAAUCAAACUAUCACAGGUUAUUCGUUACCAUUUAAAAUUUCUAAUAAAUUAAGCAUCAAAAUAUUUCUGAAAAAUAUUCCAAUUCGCAUAAAAUUGGUGAGAAAAAGUUUUUAGAUUUUUGUAGGAGCAAAUGUCACAGAUCCAUCACGGUGGACGCACAUCACGGCUGCAUCUUGUCUUCCUGAGAGAAGCCUGAAAGAGCGACCAUCUACGCCUUUUUUGUGUGAUCUUUUUGUUAUAUUUUUUGUUAUUAAAUAAUGCAUUUUUACAAAUACAUAUACAUAUACUAUACAUUCUUACAAAUACAUAUACAAUGGACUAUUAACUUUACAUUAAAGUAAUUGCAAAUUUUUGCUUCUUUUUCUUUAUAGGUGAAUGUCGAUUUAAAAGCAGACAGGAUGCAAACUUGACAAAGCGUGUAUAAGCAUAUGUCAUCGCCUAUUGGAACUAAUUGUGAGAGUAAUAUCACUAUUAGUUGCCUUUGUCAGAUGACCAGCAGUAUCUCAACAAACCAUCAGAGAUUUAACUUUCCCAGCGCGACCACUUUAGCGUUAAAAAUUUGAAAUAGACAAUUCACAAUUAAAUUUGGAAGACGUAGUAUCUUCGUAUAUAGAAAGAAUAAGAGAGAUCUAGUCAAUACUUAAUUAUGUAGUUGCGGAACGUUUUGAUGAAGCUUUCAAAAAAGCGAGAAAUCGCGACGAACUAUCAAAAUUUCAAAACGUUUUGUCCGUGGAGCUUUUAGCCAAGAAGAAACCAUUGUUUUGCAACCUUUUACUACUAAGGAUUGUGACGCAGUCAAAAGCGUUUAGCUGACGGCUGGUCUAGUUGUGCGUAAGAACACUGUCAUUGACUCUUGUUACACGGAACUAUUAAUCGGCUUUAGUAACAUACGUAGUUAUGAAAUUGGUUAAUCUUCUUCAUUAGUAUUCUUCUGAAGAACGGAAUAACUGUAAUUGGUCAGUUUCCUAACUACGGAUGUUAUUAAACCCGAUUAAAAGUGCUGUGCAUCAGGGGUUGAUUGACUAAAGGAAUUGAAUUGAUAAAGACGCAGAAGUUAUAAAACUAAUAUGAUCUAGUGGAGCCAUACCUCUGGCAUUCAAAAUUAUUUCUGAAGUGGCAAUGUGGUUGGAAAGCAGUAAUUGUCUAUUCAGUAUUACGAAGGAUCCUUAUAAGACAUAUAGUAAACGGUUCUUCUGGUGGUGAAGGUUGUAUACAAGCAGCAGCUGGAGCACCAUUCGGAAUUGGCUGAGAUAUUGGUGGCUCUAUUCGUAUGCUGGCAUUCUGCAACAGGAUUUUUGACCAUAAGCCAACUAAAGAUGAGGAAGAUUAAAGAUUUAGAUAACGCAUUAUUAAUAUGUUAUGAAACACUUGUUAUCACAUUUUUAUUAUAAGAAUUGUUUCGAAUGAUGGCCUAGGAUUCCAGUGAACAUAGUCACGACAAAGAUCAAUUACUCGCUAUUAGACUAACGUGUAAAUAUGCGCAAGAUUUAUCGUUAAUUCUUAAAAUUAUUGCGGAUAAAAAUAUUUACUUAUUAAAGUUAAAUCAAAAGUGGACAUUUCACAAAUAAGGGCAAGUUAGUUUAAUAUUGAAAUAAAAAUAUUUAAUUAUAUAUUUUUUCUUAAAUUUAAUCUUACUUCAUGUAUGCAUCCUUUUGCGAGAAAAUAUCUAAAAUAAAUAGAGUUAAUAAUUUGUAAUACAAUAAUCAAGAAACAAUAUUUCUAUGUGACUCUAGAUUUAUUAUAUAGAAGACGACGGUGGUCAGCAUCUAAUUUCGCCAGUGGAUCUAGAAAUACAAGCCAUUAUGAUAUAACUCGUUCAUGGCCUUCAAUUAUUCACUGAUUUGAUAACAAGCGUAAAACUAUUAUUGUUAAUACAUAUUUUAUCUAUUAAAAGAAAUAAAUUGUUACUAUAUUAUUUUA
Molecule: long non-coding RNA, 3229 nt
Organism: Solenopsis invicta (red fire ant)
Lineage: Eukaryota; Metazoa; Arthropoda; Insecta; Hymenoptera; Formicidae
Exons: 4
Source: RefSeq, a predicted model, not a curated record